RNAcentral lists this ribosomal RNA (432 nucleotides) under uncultured bacterium. Its description in RNAcentral is "partial 16S ribosomal RNA". It matches the Rfam family "Bacterial small subunit ribosomal RNA", at positions 29 to 507 of the family's 1533-position model. The record is from RNAcentral.
ACGAACGCUGGCGGCAUGCCUAACACAUGCAAGUCGAACGAGACCUUCGGGUCUAGUGGCGCACGGGUGCGUAACGCGUGGGAACCUGCCCUUAGGUUCGGAAUAACUCCCCGAAAGGGGUGCUAAUAUCGGAUAAUGUCUUCGGACCAAAGAUUUAUCGCCUUUGGAUGGGCCCGCGUUGGAUUAGCUAGUUGGUAGGGUAAAAGCCUACCAAGGCGACGAUCCAUAGCUGGUCUGAGAGGAUGAUCAGCCACACUGGGACUGAGACACGGCCCAGACUCCUACGGGAGGCAGCAGUGGGGAAUAUUGGACAAUGGGCGAAAGCCUGAUCCAGCAAUGCCGCGUGAGUGAUGAAGGCCUUAGGGUUGUAAAGCUCUUUUACCCGGGAUGAUAAUGACAGUACCGGGAGAAUAAGCUCCGGCUAACUCCGUG